Molecule: long non-coding RNA, 774 nt
Filed under: Anas platyrhynchos platyrhynchos (common mallard)
Lineage: Eukaryota; Metazoa; Chordata; Aves; Anseriformes; Anatidae
Description: lncRNA (ENSAPLG00000026513.1)
Source: RNAcentral
AUGAGAGGGAAGAAAAGGAAAGCCAUACAACACAGAAGUAGCUUUGAACGUUUUAGGCCACGAUGUAAGGAAGAGAUUUGUGUGCACAGUUCAGGCUUCUGCAGGUGCGACAAACCAGGCCCACUGUUGAGUUAUGCAACCACCAUCACCUCUACCAUGUCAAAAUACCUCCUAGUAACUACCUAGAUGAAAAGCACUCAGCUCACUAGGAAACUCUGUCCAUCUCACCCCAGUGAUUCAUACAUUUGUCACCUCCAGCAUGAACCCCUGUAACUGAAGUGGAAUCUGAAACCUGUGAAUGGAUACAGAAGGUGACUGCUGACUUUUUCCAUGGUGAAAUGUGCUGUUAGCAGAGUAUGUCUGAAUUCAGGUACCUCAGAAAGCCUCCACUUUCUCUCAGUACCUGUUUACAGCCCUAGCCACCAUUUUCAAAGCAAGUAAAGAAAUUUCAGAGACAGCUGCAUACCUCUGAUGUGCCUUAGAUCACAGGUUUAAAAAAAAAAAACGUGAGAACUAUUCACAAUGUGAAUCUGAUAUCUGAUUUUGCUUUGCACUGUCUGCACCUCUUGCCAAGGUAAUCCUGCUGUGGAAUGCUUUGCUGGAACCUGAUCAUGUUCCUGAAAUAUUGCAGUUUUCCCUGUGUGAUUGGGCUGGGAGGAUUUUUUUUUUUUUACCAUAUGUGACACAAUUCAACAGCUGUUUUUAUUCAUGAAUCCUUUCCUCCUUUCUUCCCCCUUCCUCAAAAUAAAAAACAUUUCAUGAAUGUUGAUUACA